GUGGCUGCUACGUCAGUAUGUCAGUAGCCAUGACAGAGGGGAGAGAGGCCAUGUCUAUGCUUAGAAUUCUGAGCAAGGAAUAUAUGAAUGAUUAGUAGCCUAACAUU
RNAcentral lists this small nucleolar RNA (107 nucleotides) under Mus pahari (shrew mouse). Its description in RNAcentral is "predicted gene, 25336 (MGP_PahariEiJ_G0034694.1)". It matches the Rfam family "Small nucleolar RNA SNORA17", at positions 25 to 132 of the family's 132-position model. From Rfam's summary of the family: snoRNA ACA 17 belongs to the H/ACA family of snoRNAs and is predicted to guide pseudouridylation of the 28S rRNA at positions U4659 and U4598. It shares the same host gene together with ACA43. Lineage: Eukaryota; Metazoa; Chordata; Mammalia; Rodentia; Muridae. The record is from RNAcentral.